RNAcentral lists this unclassified non-coding RNA (21 nucleotides) under Mus musculus (house mouse). RNAcentral describes it as "oocyte_clustered_small_RNA8447". The record is from RNAcentral. Lineage: Eukaryota; Metazoa; Chordata; Mammalia; Rodentia; Muridae.
UGAGCCUGUAGUCGUUACCAA